RNAcentral lists this unclassified non-coding RNA (226 nucleotides) under Hevea brasiliensis (rubber tree). The record is from RNAcentral. Lineage: Eukaryota; Viridiplantae; Streptophyta; Magnoliopsida; Malpighiales; Euphorbiaceae.
AAAGAGUCCAUUGAGUCACAUCUUAUCCAUAUUUUAACAUGUGGGAAGAAAAUUCGCAGCAAAGAGCUUUGAUACAUGUUUUGACAGAGAGAGACAGAGAGCAAAAGAGUAAAGACCAAGACUAGGGCAUCUCGUUCCGAACCAUGAGCUGCUUUCCAAAAUUAAACAGCUGGGUGAUCUGAUCACCAUGAUUGAGUAAAUACUAUGAGCUAUAAGGAACAGAUGU